AACGCUAGCUACAGGCUUAACACAUGCAAGUCGAGGGGCAGCAUGGUCUUAGCUUGCUAAGGCCGAUGGCGACCGGCGCACGGGUGAGUAACACGUAUCCAACCUGCCGUCUACUCUUGGACAGCCUUCUGAAAGGAAGAUUAAUACAAGAUGGCAUCAUGAGUCCGCAUGUUCACAUGAUUAAAGGUAUUCCGGUAGACGAUGGGGAUGCGUUCCAUUAGAUAGUAGGCGGGGUAACGGCCCACCUAGUCUUCGAUGGAUAGGGGUUCUGAGAGGAAGGUCCCCCACAUUGGAACUGAGACACGGUCCAAACUCCUACGGGAGGCAGCAGUGAGGAAUAUUGGUCAAUGGGCGAGAGCCUGAACCAGCCAAGUAGCGUGAAGGAUGACUGCCCUAUGGGUUGUAAACUUCUUUUAUAAAGGAAUAAAGUCGGGUAUGCAUACCCGUUUGCAUGUACUUUAUGAAUAAGGAUCGGCUAACUCCGUGCCAGCAGCCGCGGUAAUACGGAGGAUCCGAGCGUUAUCCGGAUUUAUUGGGUUUAAAGGGAGCGUAGAUGGAUGUUUAAGUCAGUUGUGAAAGUUUGCGGCUCAACCGUAAAAUUGCAGUUGAUACUGGAUAUCUUGAGUGCAGUUGAGGCAGGCGGAAUUCGUGGUGUAGCGGUGAAAUGCUUAGAUAUCACGAAGAACUCCGAUUGCGAAGGCAGCCUGCUAAGCUGCAACUGACAUUGAGGCUCGAAAGUGUGGGUAUCAAACAGGAUUAGAUACCCUGGUAGUCCACACGGUAAACGAUGAAUACUCGCUGUUUGCGAUAUACGGCAAGCGGCCAAGCGAAAGCGUUAAGUAUUCCACCUGGGGAGUACGCCGGCAACGGUGAAACUCAAAGGAAUUGACGGGGGCCCGCACAAGCGGAGGAACAUGUGGUUUAAUUCGAUGAUACGCGAGGAACCUUACCCGGGCUUAAAUUGCAGAUGAAUUACGGUGAAAGCCGUAAGCCGCAAGGCAUCUGUGAAGGUGCUGCAUGGUUGUCGUCAGCUCGUGCCGUGAGGUGUCGGCUUAAGUGCCAUAACGAGCGCAACCCUUGUUGUCAGUUACUAACAGGUUCCGCUGAGGACUCUGACAAGACUGCCAUCGUAAGAUGUGAGGAAGGUGGGGAUGACGUCAAAUCAGCACGGCCCUUACGUCCGGGGCUACACACGUGUUACAAUGGGGGGUACAGAGGGCCGCUACCACGCGAGUGGAUGCCAAUCCCAAAAACCUCUCUCAGUUCGGACUGGAGUCUGCAACCCGACUCCACGAAGCUGGAUUCGCUAGUAAUCGCGCAUCAGCCACGGCGCGGUGAAUACGUUCCCGGGCCUUGUACACACCGCCCGUCAAGCCAUGGGAGCCGGGGGUACCUGAAGUGCGUAACCGCGAGGAGCGCCCUAGGGUAAAACUGA
Molecule: ribosomal RNA, 1435 nt
Filed under: uncultured organism
Description: SSU rRNA
Rfam family: Bacterial small subunit ribosomal RNA
Source: RNAcentral